GUUGAGGUCUGUGGAAGAGAUGUCCAUUGGAGAAAUGGCUGGUAGUUACUCUUUUUUCCCCCCACCCCCUUAAUCAGACUUUAAAAGUGCUUAACCCCUUAAACUUGUUAUUUUUUACUUGAAGCAUUUUGGGAUGGUCUUAACAGGGAAGAGAGAGGGUGGGGGAGAAAAUGUUUUUUUCUAAGAUUUUCCACAGAUGCUAUAGUACUAUUGACAAACUGGGUUAGAGAAGGAGUGUACCGCUGUGCUGUUGGCACGAACACCUUCAGGGACUGGAGCUGCUUUUAUCCUUGGAAGAGUAUUCCCAGUUGAAGCUGAAAAGUACAGCACAGUGCAGCUUUGGUUCAUAUUCAGUCAUCUCAGGAGAACUUCAGAAGAGCUUGAGUAGGCCAAAUGUUGAAGUUAAGUUUUCCAAUAAUGUGACUUCUUAAAAGUUUUAUUAAAGGGGAGGGGCAAAUAUUGGCAAUUAGUUGGCAGUGGCCUGUUACGGUUGGGAUUGGUGGGGUGGGUUUAGGUAAUUGUUUAGUUUAUGAUUGCAGAUAAACUCAUGCCAGAGAACUUAAAGUCUUAGAAUGGAAAAAGUAAAGAAAUAUCAACUUCCAAGUUGGCAAGUAACUCCCAAUGAUUUAGUUUUUUUCCCCCCAGUUUGAAUUGGGAAGCUGGGGGAAGUUAAAUAUGAGCCACUGGGUGUACCAGUGCAUUAAUUUGGGCAAGGAAAGUGUCAUAAUUUGAUACUGUAUCUGUUUUCCUUCAAAGUAUAGAGCUUUUGGGGAAGGAAAGUAUUGAACUGGGGGUUGGUCUGGCCUACUGGGCUGACAUUAACUACAAUUAUGGGAAAUGCAAAAGUUGUUUGGAUAUGGUAGUGUGUGGUUCUCUUUUGGAAUUUUUUUCAGGUGAUUUAAUAAUAAUUUAAAACUACUAUAGAAACUGCAGAGCAAAGGAAGUGGCUUAAUGAUCCUGAAGGGAUUUCUUCUGAUGGUAGCUUUUGUAUUAUCAAACAGGUAUCUCUUCGUUAUCAGAAGAGUUGCUUCAUUUCAUCUGGGAGCAGAAAACAGCAGGCAGCUGUUAACAGAUAAGUUUAACUUGCAUCUGCAGUAUUGCAUGUUAGGGAUAAGUGCUUAUUUUUAAGAGCUGUGGAGUUCUUAAAUAUCAACCAUGGCACUUUCUCCUGACCCCUUCCCUAGGGGAUUUCAGGAUUGAGAAAUUUUUCCAUCGAGCCUUUUUAAAAUUGUAGGACUUGUUCCUGUGGGCUUCAGUGAUGGGAUAGUACACUUCACUCAGAGGCAUUUGCAUCUUUAAAUAAUUUCUUAAAAGCCUCUAAAGUGAUCAGUGCCUUGAUGCCAACUAAGGAAAUUUGUUUAGCAUUGAAUCUCUGAAGGCUCUAUGAAAGGAAUAGCAUGAUGUGCUGUUAGAAUCAGAUGUUACUGCUAAAAUUUACAUGUUGUGAUGUAAAUUGUGUAGAAAACCAUUAAAUCAUUCAAAAUAAUAAACUAUUUUUAUUAGAGAAUGUAUACUUUUAGAAAGCUGUCUCCUUAUUUAAAUAAAAUAGUGUUUGUCUGUAGUUCAGUGUUGGGGCAAUCUUGGGGGGGAUUCUUCUCUAAUCUUUCAGAAACUUUGUCUGCGAACACUCUUUAAUGGACCAGAUCAGGAUUUGAGCGGAAGAACGAAUGUAACUUUAAGGCAGGAAAGACAAAUUUUAUUCUUCAUAAAGUGAUGAGCAUAUAAUAAUUCCAGGCACAUGGCAAUAGAGGCCCUCUAAAUAAGGAAUAAAUAACCUCUUAGACAGGUGGGAGAUUAUGAUCAGAGUAAAAGGUAAUUACACAUUUUAUUUCCAGAAAGUCAGGGGUCUAUAAAUUGACAGUGAUUAGAGUAAUACUUUUUCACAUUUCCAAAGUUUGCAUGUUAACUUUAAAUGCUUACAAUCUUAGAGUGGUAGGCAAUGUUUUACACUAUUGACCUUAUAUAGGGAAGGGAGGGGGUGCCUGUGGGGUUUUAAAGAAUUUUCCUUUGCAGAGGCAUUUCAUCCUUCAUGAAGCCAUUCAGGAUUUUGAAUUGCAUAUGAGUGCUUGGCUCUUCCUUCUGUUCUAACUUCACAGAGAAUGCAGUUGUCUUGACUUCAGGUCUGUCUGUUCUGUUGGCAAGUAAAUGCAGUACUGUUCUGAUCCCGCUGCUAUUAGAAUGCAUUGUGAAACGACUGGAGUAUGAUUAAAAGUUGUGUUCCCCAAUGCUUGGAGUAGUGAUUGUUGAAGGAAAAAAUCCAGCUGAGUGAUAAAGGCUGAGUGUUGAGGAAAUUUCUGCAGUUUUAAGCAGUCGUAUUUGUGAUUGAAGCUGAGUACAUUUUGCUGGUGUAUUUUUAGGUAAAAUGCUUUUUGUUCAUUUCUGGUGGUGGGAGGGGACUGAAGCCUUUAGUCUUUUCCAGAUGCAACCUUAAAAUCAGUGACAAGAAACAUUCCAAACAAGCAACAGUCUUCAAGAAAUUAAACUGGCAAGUGGAAAUGUUUAAACAGUUCAGUGAUCUUUAGUGCAUUGUUUAUGUGUGGGUUUCUCUCUCCCCUCCCUUGGUCUUAAUUCUUACAUGCAGGAACACUCAGCAGACACACGUAUGCGAAGGGCCAGAGAAGCCAGACCCAGUAAGAAAAAAUAGCCUAUUUACUUUAAAUAAACCAAACAUUCCAUUUUAAAUGUGGGGAUUGGGAACCACUAGUUCUUUCAGAUGGUAUUCUUCAGACUAUAGAAGGAGCUUCCAGUUGAAUUCACCAGUGGACAAAAUGAGGAAAACAGGUGAACAAGCUUUUUCUGUAUUUACAUACAAAGUCAGAUCAGUUAUGGGACAAUAGUAUUGAAUAGAUUUCAGCUUUAUGCUGGAGUAACUGGCAUGUGAGCAAACUGUGUUGGCGUGGGGGUGGAGGGGUGAGGUGGGCGCUAAGCCUUUUUUUAAGAUUUUUCAGGUACCCCUCACUAAAGGCACCGAAGGCUUAAAGUAGGACAACCAUGGAGCCUUCCUGUGGCAGGAGAGACAACAAAGCGCUAUUAUCCUAAGGUCAAGAGAAGUGUCAGCCUCACCUGAUUUUUAUUAGUAAUGAGGACUUGCCUCAACUCCCUCUUUCUGGAGUGAAGCAUCCGAAGGAAUGCUUGAAGUACCCCUGGGCUUCUCUUAACAUUUAAGCAAGCUGUUUUUAUAGCAGCUCUUAAUAAUAAAGCCCAAAUCUCAAGCG
Molecule: long non-coding RNA, 3215 nt
Organism: Homo sapiens (human)
Lineage: Eukaryota; Metazoa; Chordata; Mammalia; Primates; Hominidae
Gene: MALAT1
Product: metastasis associated lung adenocarcinoma transcript 1
Source: Ensembl